AGACCCGAAACCCGGUGAUCUAGCCAUGGGCAGGUUGAAGGUUGGGUAACACUAACUGGAGGACCGAACCGACUAAUGUUGAAAAAUUAGCGGAUGACCUGUGGCUGGGGGUGAAAGGCCAAUCAAACCGGGAGAUAGCUGGUUCUCCCCGAAAGCUAUUUAGGUAGCGCCUCGUGAAUUCAUCUCCGGGGGUAGAGCACUGUUUCGGCUAGGGGGCCAUCCCGGCUUACCAACCCGAUGCAAACUGCGAAUACCGGAGAAUGUUAUCACGGGAGACACACGGCGGGUGCUAACGUCCGUCGUGAAGAGGGAAACAACCCAGACCGCCAGCUAAGGUCCCAAAGUCAUGGUUAAGUGGGAAACGAUGUGGGAAGGCCCAGACAGCCAGGAUGUUGGCUUAGAAGCAGCCAUCAUUUAAAGAAAGCGUAAUAGCUCACUGGUCGAGUCGGCCUGCGCGGAAGAUGUAACGGGGCUAAACCAUGCACCGAAGCUGCGGCAGCGACGCUUAUGCGUUGUUGGGUAGGGGAGCGUUCUGUAAGCCUGUGAAGGUGGCCUGUGAGGGUUGCUGGAGGUAUCAGAAGUGCGAAUGCUGACAUAAGUAACGAUAAAGCGGGUGAAAAGCCCGCUCGCCGGAAGACCAAGGGUUCCUGUCCAACGUUAAUCGGGGCAGGGUGAGUCGACCCCUAAGGCGAGGCCGAAAGGCGUAGUCGAUGGGAAACGGGUUAAUAUUCCCGUACUUGGUGUUACUGCGAAGGGGGGACGGAGAAGGCUAUGUUGGCCGGGCGACGGUUGUCCCGGUUUAAGCGUGUAGGCUGGUUUUCCAGGCAAAUCCGGAAAAUCAAGGCUGAGGCGUGAUGACGAGGCACUACGGUGCUGAAGCAACAAAUGCCCUGCUUCCAGGAAAAGCCUCUAAGCAUCAGGUAACAUCAAAUCGUACCCCAAACCGACACAGGUGGUCAGGUAGAGAAUACCAAGGCGCUUGAGAGAACUCGGGUGAAGGAACUAGGCAAAAUGGUGCCGUAACUUCGGGAGAAGGCACGCUGACACGUAGGUGAAGUGAUUUACUCAUGGAGCUGAAGUCAGUCGAAGAUACCAGCUGGCUGCAACUGUUUAUUAAAAACACAGCACUGUGCAAACACGAAAGUGGACGUAUACGGUGUGACGCCUGCCCGGUGCCGGAAGGUUAAUUGAUGGGGUCAGCGCAAGCGAAGCUCCUGAUCGAAGCCCCGGUAAACGGCGGCCGUAACUAUAACGGUCCUAAGGUAGCGAAAUUCCUUGUCGGGUAAGUUCCGACCUGCACGAAUGGCGUAAUGAUGGCCAGGCUGUCUCCACCCGAGACUCAGUGAAAUUGAACUCGCUGUGAAGAUGCAGUGUACCCGCGGCAAGACGGAAAGACCCCGUGAACCUUUACUAUAGCUUGACACUGAACAUUGAGCCUUGAUGUGUAGGAUAGGUGGGAGGCUUUGAAGCGUGGACGCCAGUCUGCGUGGAGCCGACCUUGAAAUACCACCCUUUAAUGUUUGAUGUUCUAACGUGGACCCGU
Molecule: ribosomal RNA, 1543 nt
Filed under: Salmonella enterica
Lineage: Bacteria; Pseudomonadati; Pseudomonadota; Gammaproteobacteria; Enterobacterales; Enterobacteriaceae
Also listed under: 1 other name
Description: partial 23S ribosomal RNA
Rfam family: Bacterial large subunit ribosomal RNA
Source: RNAcentral